Molecule: long non-coding RNA, 929 nt
Organism: Mastomys coucha (southern multimammate mouse)
Lineage: Eukaryota; Metazoa; Chordata; Mammalia; Rodentia; Muridae
Exons: 3
Source: RefSeq, a predicted model, not a curated record
UCUUGCCGGUCUAUCCUUGGAGGGUGGUGGUGACCCGAAGGGCAGAAAAAUACUCUCUCAUCAGGUAUGAACCUGCAGCCCUUCGGUGAAGGCAGGCCGAGGCAAUUUUGAAAGGAAUGAGCGCAGCUGUGUUCCAUGAAUAAUGACAUUGCAGGUCACACCAGAAUAGGAGACUGGAAACAUUUGGCCUGACUUCACUGUCUAAGGUCUACAGAGCAGCUCAGUCUCAGCCCUUUGGCCAAGGCUCACCUGGGUGACUACAGUCAGAUGCUUCUCAACAAAUAUGAAGAGCAUCCCAGCACGGGGUCACAGGAGAAAGCAUCAAGGCUUGUUCUAGGUGCAGUGAAAGCUUCUUGGGGCUCUGCCAGCCUUGAAGACGAGGGUUCUUACUCCAGCUUGUGAAAAAAGCAUAGUUGUAACAGGAGGAGACGGGACAAGGAGGAGGCUGUUCCCGUUGUACUAGGAAGAGGGGUCAGCUUAGGGGUUCUCAGGGGGCCCUCAAGUCUAGCUCAGAGCCCAGCCUCAGUACCUGACAGUGUUACUUACGAAUGAAAAUGUUCCCAGCAGCCUGCGGGGUAGGCCGAGCCUCCACAUGUAUUUCAAAAAUGAUAUUGUGAACUGAUUCUCUGGGCUGGACAGAACCAUGCAGCUGACAGGAAGGAGGAGGCAUCCAAGACCAAGAAUCUCCUGGGCCCCCAGCCACAUGCUCUGAACCCGUGUUGUUGUAUCCAUGCUCUCAUCCAUGCCCAGUGUUGUGUAUACAAGUACAUAGCCACCCUUGGACAGCCUCCUGCUCCCUGGCACCCCCACACUAGGCCUUCGUCAGACACUCACAUAUAGGGGCUACAUUUCAGGUCAACAUUCCCUUAUGAGCUGAUUGCUAGCCAGAAUUUCUGACUCAUUAGAACAGGAACCCCCACCAUCAGGAA